UAACCCUACCCCCAGGGGAAGUCGAAUCCCCGCUGCCUCCUUGAAAGAGAGGAUGUCCU
This 59-nucleotide transfer RNA is filed under the name Chloroleucon mangense var. mangense. Its description in RNAcentral is "partial tRNA-Glu". Lineage: Eukaryota; Viridiplantae; Streptophyta; Magnoliopsida; Fabales; Fabaceae. The record is from RNAcentral.